RNAcentral lists this ribosomal RNA (372 nucleotides) under Bacillus paralicheniformis. Its description in RNAcentral is "bacterial SSU rRNA". It matches the Rfam family "Bacterial small subunit ribosomal RNA", at positions 1 to 362 of the family's 1533-position model. Lineage: Bacteria; Bacillati; Bacillota; Bacilli; Caryophanales; Bacillaceae. The record is from RNAcentral.
UUCAUGGAGAGUUUGAUCCUGGCUCAGGACGAACGCUGGCGGCGUGCCUAAUACAUGCAAGUCGAGCGGACAGAUGGGAGCUUGCUCCCUGAUGUUAGCGGCGGACGGGUGAGUAACACGUGGGUAACCUGCCUGUAAGACUGGGAUAACUCCGGGAAACCGGGGCUAAUACCGGAUGCUUAAUUGAACCGCAUGGUUCAAUUAUAAAAGGUGGCUUUUAGCUACCACUUACAGAUGGACCCGCGGCGCAUUAGCUAGUUGGUGAGGUAACGGCUCACCAAGGCAACGAUGCGUAGCCGACCUGAGAGGGUGAUCGGCCACACUGGGACUGAGACACGGCCCAGACUCCUACGGGAGGCAGCAGUAGGGAAU